This 549-nucleotide ribosomal RNA is filed under the name uncultured prokaryote. RNAcentral's name for it is "bacterial SSU rRNA". It matches the Rfam family "Bacterial small subunit ribosomal RNA", at positions 355 to 896 of the family's 1533-position model. The record is from RNAcentral.
UUUCGAAUCAUUCACAAUGGGCGAAAGCCUGAUGGUGCGACGCCGCGUGAGGGAUGAAGGUCUUCGGAUUGUAAACCUCUGUCACCGGGGAAGAAACGCUUCAAGUUAAUAGCUUGAAGCCUGACUUAACCCGGAGAGGAAGCAGUGGCUAACUCUGUGCCAGCAGCCGCGGUAAUACAGAGACUGCAAGCGUCAUUCGGAUUCACUGGGCGUAAAGGGUGCGCAGGUGGCAAUGUGUGUUAGGCGUGAAAGCCCGGGGCUUAACCCCGGAAUUGCACCUAAAACUACAUAGCUAGAGCAUUGGAGAGGGGAGCAGAAUUCACGGUGUAGCAGUGAAAUGCGUAGAUAUCGUGAGGAAUACCAGAGGCGAAGGCGGCUCCCUGGACAAUUGCUGACACUCAGGCACGAAAGCGUGGGGAGCAAAAGGGAUUAGAUACCCCUGUAGUCCACGCCCUAAACGGUGCACACUAGGUCUUGGCGGAUUCGACCCCACCAGGGCCCAAGCUAACGCGUUAAGUGUGCCGCCUGAGGACUACGGCCGCAAGGCUA